GGUCUUAUAGUAUAAUGGUUAUUACCUUCUAUUCUUAGACUCUUAGAGUAGAGUAAUUCAGGUUCGAUUCCUGAUAAGACUU
Molecule: non-coding RNA, 82 nt
Organism: Xylogone sp. PMI_703
Lineage: Eukaryota; Fungi; Ascomycota; Leotiomycetes
Source: the annotation of a GenBank genome assembly